GGGCGGCGCCUCUGAACGCGCAGACCGGAAGGGGGACUCUGCCGCGCGUGCCCUCGCCGCGCCUUCAGCGUGCUGUGCGCGAGACAGCGUCGCGUCGAGCUACGGAGGGCGGCGGGGAGGCUUGAAAUUGCGAACGCGCUGCCACGCCGCGCUGGCUAGGAGAAGGGCUGCGAGUGACUGCAAAGAGGGGGUCCCCAUCCCAUGUUCCUAAAAGCAAACGUUAGCUGCAAGCACGGAUGAAAUUGAAGAACAAUUUGAUGUGAAACGUAAUCCUGCUGAGAAUGGUAAAACCAUAAAGAGAAUAUGAAGAAAUGGUUCCAGAGAGAGGAGAAGAGACUGUUUCUCACAUGGUCAGCUCAGCUUUAAUCCAUUCCAGACUAAACUAGUGGUACCACCAGUGGAGCGAAACUUUCGAGUCAAGAAGUGAUGGCUGUGAUGCAGUAAUGACCAUAACAGAAACCUGGUGGGUGAUGAAAACUAAUGUGGAUGAACACUGAGUAAUAUAGACCCCUUUGAGCACUCAGAAGAAUAGAAAGAACGUUCUGCAAGGGACAAGUGGACAACAGGAUGGUGUGCUGCCUUCCUGGAGCCAGAACAGGAGAUGCCACUCUAAGACUGAUUAGGCUUCUGAAGAUGAUGGGCAAGGACCCAUUGGCGAUAGUUCAUAUUGACACUAAUGAUUUGAUCCCAGUCUGAAGUACCAUGCAGAAAAGCUACACAAACCAUUACUGUUGAAGCAAAAUUGAUCUACUCUACCACUGAGUAAAUUAAAUGAUGAUUUCAGUAGAACAACAAUGAUUGUACAUGUCACACUGAUAACAAUACAUCAUGAAUUCAUUAUGAACAGGGCUACUUCAGUAAAUACCAGAUGAAUUCAUGACGACUGGAUUCUUAAAAUGCUACCAGAUUUACUACAGCUUUUUUUCUGUUUCCAUGUGUAAUUACUACCAGGACUAUCACUAUUACCUACUAAUUUUAUAAAUGAAACCAAUCAGAAAGUUAAAAAUGGUGCACCUGAGUCUUGCUACAAAAAUAUUGAACAUCUUAGGCAUCAUCAACACUGAUAUUUAAAGGCAAGAAUUAUGCUUAGUCAAGAUUUGUGUGUUCAGUUUAUUUUCUUCAUCAUGACUCUAACUAGCCAAAGGAAUUUUUUGGGUUAGCUUGGUUACUAUAGGUUUUAUUGAAAAAUGAUUGAUUCAUUGUUUACAAUUAUACAAAUAGUGAAAUAGGCUUCAAAAUAUUAUUUACAAGAGGGCUAUGAAAAUAAAA
This is a long non-coding RNA of Dermochelys coriacea (leatherback sea turtle), 1269 nucleotides long. RefSeq lists it as uncharacterized. The record is from RefSeq and is a predicted model, not a curated record. Lineage: Eukaryota; Metazoa; Chordata; Testudines; Dermochelyidae. The transcript is spliced from 6 exons.